CACGUAGGAGGCAAACGUUAUCCGGAUUUACUGGGCGUAAAGCGCAUGUAGGUGGUUCUGUAAGUAGGGCGUGAAAGCUCCCGGCUCAACUGGGAGAGGCUGUUCUAAACUACAGAGCUAGAGGAUGGUAGAGGGAGGUGGAAUUCCGGGUGUAGCGGUGGAAUGCGCAGAUAUCCGGAGGAACACCAGUGGCGAAAGCGGCCUCCUGGUCCAUUCCUGACACUCAGAUGCGAAAGCUAGGGUAGCAAACGGGAUUAGAUACCCCCGUAGUCCCU
This 275-nucleotide ribosomal RNA is filed under the name uncultured prokaryote. RNAcentral's name for it is "partial 16S ribosomal RNA". It matches the Rfam family "Bacterial small subunit ribosomal RNA", at positions 524 to 798 of the family's 1533-position model. The record is from RNAcentral.